This 324-nucleotide ribosomal RNA is filed under the name uncultured bacterium. Its description in RNAcentral is "bacterial SSU rRNA". It matches the Rfam family "Bacterial small subunit ribosomal RNA", at positions 28 to 334 of the family's 1533-position model. The record is from RNAcentral.
GAUGAACGCUGGCGGCGUGCCUAACACAUGCAAGUCGAACGAAGCAAUUAGAAUGAAGUUUUCGGAUGGAUUUUUAAUUGACUGAGUGGCGGACGGGUGAGUAACGCGUGGAUAACCUGCCUCACACUGGGGGAUAACAGUUAGAAAUGACUGCUAAUACCGCAUAAGCGCACGCUACCGCAUGGUAGCGUGUGAAAAACUCCGGUGGUGUGAGAUGGAUCCGCGUCUGAUUAGCCAGUUGGCAGGGUAACGGCCCACCAAAGCGACGAUCGGUAGCCGGACUGAGAGGUUGAACGGCCACAUUGGGACUGAGACACGGCCCAG